GACGAACGCUGGCGGCGUGCUUAACACAUGCAAGUCGAACGGAAAGGCCCUGCUUUUGUGGGGUGCUCGAGUGGCGAACGGGUGAGUAACACGUGAGUAGCCUGCCCUUGACUUUGGGAUAACUUCAGGAAACUGGGGCUAAUACCGGAUAGGAGCUCCUGCUGCAUGGUGGGGGUUGGAAAGUUUCGGCGGUUGGGGAUGGACUCGCGGCUUAUCAGCUUGUUGGUGGGGUAGUGGCUUACCAAGGCUUUGACGGGUAGCCGGCCUGAGGGGGUGACCGGCCACAUUGGGCCUGAGAUACGGCCCAGACUCCUACGGGAGGCAGCAGUGGGGAAUAUUGCACAAUGGGCGGAAGCCUGAUGCAGCAACGCCGCGUGCGGGAUGACGGCCUUCGGGUUGUAAACCGCUUUCGCCUGUGACGAAGCGUGAGUGACGGUAAUGGGUAAAGAAGCACCGGCUAACUACGUG
Molecule: ribosomal RNA, 468 nt
Filed under: uncultured bacterium
Lineage: Bacteria
Description: partial 16S ribosomal RNA
Rfam family: Bacterial small subunit ribosomal RNA
Source: RNAcentral